UUCCAGACUCCUACGGGAGGCAGCAGUGGGGGAUAUUGGACAAUGGGGGAAACCCUGAUCCAGCGAUGCCGCGUGAGGGAAGAAGGUUUUCGGAUUGUAAACCUCUGUGGACAGGGACGAUAAUGACGGUACCUGUCAAGAAAGCCACGGCUAACUACGUGCCAGCAGCCGCGGUAAUACGUAGGGGGCAAGCGUUAUCCGGAUUUACUGGGUGUAAAGGGAGCGUAGACGGCAGCGCAAGUCUGAAGUGAAAUGCCGGGGCUUAACCCCGGAACUGCUUUGGAAGCUGUGCAGCUAGAGUGCAGGAGAGGUAAGUGGAAUUCCUAGUGUAGCGGUGAAAUGCGUAGAUAUUAGGAGGAACACCAGUGGCGAAGGCGGCUUACUGGACUGUAACUGACGUUGAGGCUCGAAAGCGUGGGGAGCAAACAGGAUUAGAUACCCUCGUAC
Molecule: ribosomal RNA, 447 nt
Filed under: uncultured bacterium
Lineage: Bacteria
Description: bacterial SSU rRNA
Rfam family: Bacterial small subunit ribosomal RNA
Source: RNAcentral